GCUCACUGGGCUGGCGGCCGAGCCGUCACCGCCGGCCGAGCCGUCACCGCCGCCCGCCCGGAAGGGGGAAAAAUGGUUUAAAAAAAAAAAGAAGAAAGAAAGAAAGGGGCGAAGCGAGUUCUCGACGAACCACGCGAGAGCGUGAAAGUUAGUGCCCGAGUGGCGUGUCAUCCCGUGACAAACUACAGAUGGGGCAUCCAGUCGAGUUCUUCACCUUCCACACAAAGCAUCGAAGAAACAGACGUUUGUACCUUUACAGCACUAAACACAACACGGACCAACACCUUUGCACCGCUGCUGCUUUGUGUUCACCGUCCCGAACACAGCCCUCGCAGUCACCUCCAAGAGUACAGAAAGCGAGAGGAAGGCGCCAAAGCAAGGCCAGAAGCACCUCUCUGUGAGGAGGACGGCUCUCUGUAGCCCCGCUGGCCACCGCGGCCUCCCCCGCGCUGCCGGCUGCGGCGCGCCCCCUGCUGGCGGCGGCGGGGACCGGCGCGGGGCUGGCAAAUGGACGAGGUGAAAGAGAAGGAGCAGCGACUGCCGGUUAACCGGGCAGCAUGCGGUGAAAUGCAGGUUACAGCAGCAUCGAAGAGUUCCCCUUGCUUUUGCAGAGCCCUUCGCCAAGGCUGAUUUUGCUAGGGGUGAAAGAGAGCGCGGCUGAUGCUGGAGGAAUGGCCUGUGCACAGGGGAUGCUGACACAACCUUCAGUCUGAGUCUCAGCUUGUGAAUAAAGGCAGAACGGGUAACUUCAGUAUUCUGAAUGAAAUGAUAUAGUUCUGACAGGGCAGCAGUGGUUGGGACCCACAGUGUGUGCUGCCAAAGGAGAGUCUCCGAGCAGCAGCACUGUGCUGCAAGCACUGGCAUUGUAGAGCUCCUUGGAUGGCAUGAGGGUGAAACAGAGGUGAAGGAGGAUUCCAGGUACACAUAUUGUACUGUUUUGUAUGAUUUCUCACUAGCUAUUUUGUGUUACAUAUUUAUUCCUGUUGCACUCUACUACCUGCUAGAAUUGUGCUCUGGACUGGCCAUUCAUCUGACCAGCUCUGAGUCACCAACUAGACCUGGCUCUGACAAGCCCUGUGCAUGCUCCUGAAGUGCAUUUACUCACUCUGAAGUGCUCAAGGGAAGUACAUGCAAAGGAAUACUACAGUUACCUGGAUUUCCACCAGAAUAACAGGAAUAAACACUUUUUAAUUGGCUGGUUUAGGCCAGUUUCUUCAGGGCAGUCACAGAGGGUUGCUGUCCAGAAAACCAGAAGGCUGCCAACACCCUUGCCUGGUCCCUGGCUCCCUCUGACUCAGGAUCCAGGCUGGACAGAACACAUUUCUGUGCUCUGAACGCUAAAUCCUGUCCUCUCUGAGCCCGUGCAACAAGAAACCAGCAGUUCCUGCUUGCUGUGAGCUGAAGGCAAGCUGAAAGAAGGGGAAGUGGAGCUGCAAAUCAGUACAUGAUGCCUGCCAUGCCAUUGUUUGAAAAGAUUUUUAUAUAUGUGGAGAUAAUCAGUUAAUCAGUACAUUCAAGGUUGAAGAGGGCUUGUGGCUUCCCAGGACCAAGCCAGUUUGGUCAAAGGGUUCGCUCAGGGGCUUUCCCUCCCUUUUCCCUCUCCUUGCAUUCUGGAUGCCUUGGAAUGGCUGUUGGAAAUCCUUGUUUGGAAAAAGCACUGAAAGUAGCCUCCUCUAUAAAACUUCUCUGUGCUUCCUUGGUCACAACCCACUUGGUCACAACCCUCUCAGGUGCUGAGUCUGCUCAGGAAUGGAUGUUUAAAGCUGAUGGCAUCAGCCAUCUCUGAAGGCCGCGAGUGAGAGCAGCUUUCAAGGCAGUCUUGCACACUUGUGUGGGUGCAGUGGGGACCAUCUGGCAAUGGUUAGCCUGUUGUUAUUUGCUUUGUCGAUUUAUUCUAACCCUUACUGAUGCUGCAGCGCGAGACAGAUCCUCAGGCGAGCUUGUGAGUUCCUGUCUGGGAACUUCCCCAGCCUCCUCCUCAACAAACACAGAUGCAAACAAUUCAGUGGGGUUUUCUGCUCCAAUAUUGUCUUUUCUGCAUGUUCCUUUUCUAUCUCAAUAGCUGAUUCAUUCUAGAAAAUGUCUCUCAGGCUUCCCGCUCCUGACAAGACUGAAAAAGAUACUUAUGUUUUUUUAAGCCUUUCUGUAGUUUUGUGCCAAACUUGUUUUUAACA
Molecule: long non-coding RNA, 2174 nt
Organism: Colius striatus (speckled mousebird)
Lineage: Eukaryota; Metazoa; Chordata; Aves; Coliiformes; Coliidae
Exons: 3
Source: RefSeq, a predicted model, not a curated record